GGCUGCCCCGUCUCCAUGUGAAGUGUCUCCGACGAGUCGAGUUGUUUGGGAAUGCAGCUCAAAAUGGGUGGUAAAUUUCAUCUAAAGCUAAAUAUUGGCGAGAGACCGAUAGCGCACAAGUAGAGUGAUCGAAAGAUGAAAAGCACUUUGAAAAGAGAGUUAAAAAGUACGUGAAAUUGUUGAAAGGGAAGCGCUUGCGACCAGACUUGAUCUUUGGUGAUCAGCCGGGCUUCUGUCCGGUGCCCUCGCCGCUGAUCAGGCCAGCAUCGGUUCCGGGGGCGGGAUAAAAGGCGGGGGAAUGUGGCUUCCUUCGGGGAGUGUUAUAGCCCCUGUCACAAUGCCGCCACCUGGGACCGAGGACCGCGCUUCGGCUAGGAUGCUGGCGUAAUGGUCUUAAGCGACCCGUCUUGAAACACGGACCAAGGAGUCUAACAUCUAUGCGAGUGUUCGGGUGGAAAACCCUUGCGCGUAAUGAAAGUGAACGUAGGUGUGAACCCGCGAGGGUGCAACAUCGACCGGUCCCGAUGUCUUCGGAAGGAUCUGAGUAAGAGCAUAGCUGUUGGGACCCGAAAGAUGGUGAACUAUGCCUGAAUAGGGUGAAGCCAGAGGAAACUCUGGUGGAGGCUCGCAGCGGUUCUGACGUGCAAAUCGAUCGUCAAAUUUGGGUAUAGGGGCGAAA
RNAcentral lists this ribosomal RNA (679 nucleotides) under Sphaerosporium lignatile. Its description in RNAcentral is "partial large subunit ribosomal RNA". It matches the Rfam family "Eukaryotic large subunit ribosomal RNA", at positions 229 to 928 of the family's 3401-position model. Lineage: Eukaryota; Fungi; Ascomycota; Pezizomycetes; Pezizales; Pyronemataceae. The record is from RNAcentral.